Molecule: ribosomal RNA, 244 nt
Filed under: uncultured bacterium
Lineage: Bacteria
Description: partial 16S ribosomal RNA
Rfam family: Bacterial small subunit ribosomal RNA
Source: RNAcentral
AGUAUAGUGGCGCACGGGUGAGUAAUAAAUGGGAACAUACCUUUCGGAGGGGAACAACCACGGGAAACGGUGGCUAAUACCGCAUAACAUCGAAAGAUCAAAGGUGGCCUCUACUUGUAAGCUACCGCCGAAAGAUUGGCCUAUUCCCCAUUAGCUUGUUGGUAAGGUAAUGGCUUACCAAGGCUACGAUGGGUAGCUGGUUUGAGAGGACGAUCAGCCACACUGGAACUGAGACACGGUCCAG